This 336-nucleotide long non-coding RNA is filed under the name Pan troglodytes (chimpanzee). RNAcentral's name for it is "long non-coding RNA NONPTRT010503". Lineage: Eukaryota; Metazoa; Chordata; Mammalia; Primates; Hominidae. The record is from RNAcentral.
AUGUGGGAGGUUCCUUCUGUAAUUGAAUUCUCUCUCCUUCAAUUGCUCAGAUGGAAAUGGGCUGCCAUGUUGUGAGCUGCCCCAUGGGGAAGAGGCUCACAUGUGAGGAACUGAGGGAGGCCUCCAGAAAACAGCCAGUGAAGAACUGAGACCCUCAGUCCAAUAGCCUAUGAGGAACUGAAUCCUGCUGACAACCAUAUGAAUGAGCUUGGAAGCAGGUCCUUCCCCAGUGAAGCCUUCAUGUGAGACUGCAGCCCACUUGACACUUUGAUUUGUAGCUUGUGACAGACCCCAAGCCAGAAGAGUCAGGUGGACCUGCGGAUAAGAACCUAGCCC